GGGAUUGCCCUAGUAACGGCGAGUGAAGCGGCAACAGCUCAAAUUUGAAAUCUGGCCCUAGGCCCGAGUUGUAAUUUGCAGAGGAUGCUUUUGGCGAAGUGCUUACCGAGUCCCCUGGAAUGGGGCGCCACAGAGGGUGAGAGCCCCGUAUGGUUUGCCACUGAACCUUUGUAAAGCUCCUUCGACGAGUCGAGUAGUUUGGGAAUGCUGCUCUAAAUGGGAGGUAAAUUUCUUCUAAAGCUAAAUACCGGCCAGAGACCGAUAGCGCACAAGUAGAGUGAUCGAAAGAUGAAAAGCACUUUGAAAAGAGGGUUAAAUAGCACGUGAAAUUGUUGAAAGGGAAGCGCUUGUGACCAGACUUGUGCCGGGCGGAUCAUCCAGCGUUCUCGCUGGUGCACUCUGCCCGGCUCAGGCCAGCAUCGGUUUUCGCCGGGGGACAAAAGCUUCGGGAACGUAGCUCCCUUCGGGGAGUGUUAUAGCCCGUUGCAUAAUACCCCGGCGGGGACCGAGGACCGCGCUUCGGCAAGGAUGCUGGCGUAAUGGUCAUCAGCGACCCGUCUUGAAACACGGACCGAGGAGUCAAGCAUUAGUGCGAGUGUUUGGGUGUAAAACCCGCACGCGUAAUGAAAGUGAACGUAGGUGAGAGCUUCGGCGCAUCAUCGACCGAUCCUGAUGUUUUCGGAUGGAUUUGAGUAGGAGCAUUAACGCUUGGACCCGAAAGAUGGUGAACUAUACUUGAAUAGGGUGAAGCCAGAGGAAACUCUGGUGGAGGCUCGCAGCGGUUCUGACGUGCAAAUCGAUCGUCAAAUUUG
This 812-nucleotide ribosomal RNA is filed under the name Bifusisporella sp. RNAcentral describes it as "partial large subunit ribosomal RNA". It matches the Rfam family "Eukaryotic large subunit ribosomal RNA", at positions 71 to 913 of the family's 3401-position model. The record is from RNAcentral. Lineage: Eukaryota; Fungi; Ascomycota; Sordariomycetes; Magnaporthales; Magnaporthaceae.